CCCCCCCCGCGGCGGCGCGCAGCUCCUCCCCGCGCGCCGUCCUGCUCCCCCGCGCGCACCCCGGGGCGGUGAGAGGAGAGAGUACGGGCGGUGUUGGACGCGCCGUUCCGGGACGAGCGGGUACCGCCGAUUUCUGGGUACCCCGCGGUUCCGCAUUUGCGCAGAAUAUUCCGUUCCGGAACCGAUCCGUUCCAUCUCGUCCAGCAACCAAACAACCCAAAAAGUGGGAUGGAACGGUUCCGUUCCACCCGAUCCCUCAAACCAAACACACCCUUACUGCAGAAUACAGAUCCAGGUCCAAAGCGCACACGCCCUCAAGAGAGAAGAACACGCGGGCGUCCUCAAGCAUCAUCGUCUGGCUCCGGGUCGACUCCAGCUGCUGGUCAGCAUCCUCGGCGGAUCCUUGCGGCAGCUUGGCCAGUAGCUCAGUUUUGCAAAGACCUGCCCAGAAACUCGUAAGAGAGCACGCAUGGCAUAUGAUCUGCAAAUUCGUAGAAAUUCUUUUGUUUUUAUACAUAAUGAUUAAAUGAGCCCCUAUCGGCCCACAUGCAUCUGGCUUACUGGCCCCUGUCAGCUAGCCCACGGGCCACGGCCCGCAGGCCUGCUUGGCACCAACGCGGCCGACGUCACUUCUGGCGACCGGUCGGCUUGGGCUGGCCAAUAGGCCCAUUAACAUUUGCUAAGAUAACUAUUUACUGUUAGUCAUGUUUGAAACUGAAUUUCAAUCUCUAAACGUUGAUGAACAUUGAACAUAUACUAAAAAAAUGGGACAUGUACACCUUAUUAUAACACACACUUGUACACUUUUGUAGCAAUUGGAGGUAUUUAACUAGUUGAAUCUGAGGGGGAGAAGUGGGUAAUUGAAAUGUAAUUUCAGCACAUAUAGUUGAGCAUAAUACUUAAGCCUGUUUCAAUUAAUAAUACAAAUUCUAUAGCACCAACUGGAGUACAAAUAGAAAAUAGACACAUCAUAUAACUCCCUACUGAGUUUAGAGGUAACUAAAGCUCGUUCGCUAUCUAUUUUGGACAGUUAAAAGAGGGAAAAUAUACACGCGCUUAAACCGGGAUGAUGGGGGCCGUCGAUUGCUUGUGUGGACAUCAAUAUGUCCACUUGUCGUCCAGGGCUUGUCAGGCAUGGGUUGGCCGACAAGGGUCCUAUUUAUGCAAUCCAUUUUGCCAUCUGCUUUUGCUUGUUUUUAGAAUAACCAGAUCACUUGAAAACAAAAAAACUAAAUUCUUAGACAUCAUUUCUGGAAGACAGUGGUUUAUGUUUAUCCAUGGAUUUUGGGAGCUCAUCUCUUGCUUUCAAAUUAUAUUCAGAGCAAUUGAUUCUAUCUUUGUACCGUAAGUGUCCUAUUUUUUUUGUGUUGGGACUUGGAAGAUUUCAAUUGUUUGUAAAUUGCUGGUACAAAUUUAUCACUUUAUAUCUUUCAUUCAGUGGUUCCACUUUUAUAUCUGGAAUUUCUCAUAGCCUUCAUCUUCGAGAAUUUAAUCAGAAGCAGUUUGCAGAGAAAUAAUAAUUGCAAUAGAAGAGAAGACUCUCCAUUACCAAACUACUACAUCUUAAGUUUUUUUUUAUAAUUGAUAAACUGUUAUGUGUCAUUGCAUCGAAACAGUUUCUACCACAAGUUCAGAGCAAAUUGUGAGGGGAAAACUGUCCUUUUGUCAGAAGGGAAAUCAGACUGUGUAGGAAAUGGAAGAAAUUGAGCAGGAAAAUACAAAUUGUGCACGCCUGCCAGCUAUUUCCUCUUCCUAAAAAAUGACAUCGAUGGAAAUAUACCAAGAGUAAGCAUCAAAGCUUCAUCUAUGCGAACAGAUGUGAAGCUUUGAAAAUUUUGUCUGCAGGGAGGAAAAAAAAUCAAACACAAGAACUCAAAGUUGCCUCAUUCAAAUGAACAAAUGAAAUACUAGUAUAAGGCCUGGGACAGAGCGGAGACAUCUAGCCUAAUUUUGUCGGCGGAGAUUGAUGACCAAAUAUUUCACGGAAGGAUUUCAGUGCAGGAUUAGUUCAACUGCCCUAAUUUAUUGCCAUACUGUUCUCAUGAUCGACCGGGCAAAGCCUUUUCCGUAUAAGAAGCUUCCACAAUUAUCUGUAAGAAGAUGCAGCAUGAGCGCACAGGUCAGCAGGACGACCUGCUACACUGAGAUGUUGACGUUCCUGCUGCUGAAAUGGACCCGUCUGGAAUUCACACUUUUCUUUUUCUUGCGAGGGCGUAUGGAAUUCAUCUUGAUCUAGUAAGAACUGAAAAUGCUCCUCUGCAUUAUGGAUGACUUGUUUCUACUACUGGUAAGCCCCGGUGAAAACAUGGCACAUGAAUUCAGACUACUUGUAGUAGAACACCCGGUCGUGCAUUUGGCUGUCCAUCUUUUUUUUUGCCAACUCCUGAUGAAUCUUCUCAGGAAAAGGGUCCUGCAAUACUUCUUUAUAAUUGUAUACAUUGAUUGGUUAAUUGAUUUGAAGUGCCUGCAUCAACAACUGCUACUGGUUGCAGUUACCAAUCAAAAGCACAUGGUGUUGGGACUCUUCUGUACGGCACUUGAGAUGUGUAGUUCUCAGCAAAACAAAUUGAUGUGCGACAUCAUUUCUGAAUAAACGUAUUUUCUCUAAUCUAAAAAUGUAUUCUCUCUGAUUUUCAAUUGUUUCAGAACCGGCAACGAUUCAUGAAUUUAAUCUGAGCUAUAAACAUCAUUCGGAAUGAAAACAAUUCAUGUAUUAUCUGCCGAAUUUGGGGCUCUAUCCAGGUUCGUCAACAUUUCAAGUGAUCCACAUCUUUCCUUCGUACAGGUUCAUGGUAUGGAUGUAACGGAAGCAUUUCAGUGUAGGAUGAGUUCAAACUGCCAUACUGUCGUCUUGACCAGGCAUGUGGCCUUUUUCGUGUAAGAAGCUUCCCCGAAUGGAUCAUCUAAGAAGAUGAUGCUACCAAGCAGAGUGCAGAUGUCAGCAAGACGACCUGCUGCACUGAUUCUACUUGACGAAUCGAACAUGAUUAGUAUGCAACUGAAGGUGAUAGAUGCUGUUCCCAAUGGUAGAUGUUGACAAUACUGCUGCUGAAACGGACCCGUGCGUGUGGAAAUAUUCAUGUAGGAUCUGAACAUGAUCCUCUCCAUUUUGGAUCUUGGACUUGUUCCAGUGAAUGAGAAAAACAAAUAAAGCACAUGAUUUAACUUUUAAGACAAGUUCAAGCAGAUUA
Molecule: long non-coding RNA, 3191 nt
Organism: Panicum hallii
Lineage: Eukaryota; Viridiplantae; Streptophyta; Magnoliopsida; Poales; Poaceae
Exons: 3
Source: RefSeq, a predicted model, not a curated record